RNAcentral lists this long non-coding RNA (1383 nucleotides) under Ricinus communis (castor bean). RNAcentral's name for it is "long non-coding RNA (RCOM_LNC002746)". The record is from RNAcentral. Lineage: Eukaryota; Viridiplantae; Streptophyta; Magnoliopsida; Malpighiales; Euphorbiaceae.
AUUUCCUAAUCAAACUCUACAAACUUUUAGUAAGUGAGAAUCUAAUUCUUCUUUUAAGUUUGAAAGAUUUGGGCUUUCUUAAUCAAGGGAAACAAAGGUGAGUAAUUUUAAUUUCUUGGUUUUGCUGAAAAUUAGGAUUAAUGAUAUGAAAUUGUUGAUGAUUAUGUGUUUUGGAAUUGUUUAAUCAAGAGUGAUCAUGCUAUUACUUGUGAUCUUGAAGGUGAAAUUUAUGGGCAGAAUUUUUCACCUCUGAUUUCGUGACCUUAGAGGCUUAAUCUCGAAAAUUUCCAAACAUGAAAGUUGUAGGUAUAUGUUUCAGGAAUAUCUCUGUAAAAUGGUUUUGCAGAUCGUUGAGUGAGUAUGAACUUAUAAAGUUCGAUUUGCUGCUGCUCUGUUUGUAGUUCAGCAGGUGACCUGGUUUUUGUGCAGAUAUUUUGAGGCAUUUAGAGGCUGAACCAAGCAAGGAGUUAAACAUGAAAUUUGUUCAUUUAUAUAUCUAGUAUAUUUCUGUAAACUUUUAUAAUUUUUGGUUGAGUAUAACGUGAGAUAUGUUGAACUUAAUAUGGCCUGCUCGAAACUGUAUUAAGCAGAAAUCGGACUUAGGAUUCAGAAAUUUGUUGCUAAUUGUGUGUAUCACAACUUGAGCUAGAGAAGUCCAAAUUGAGUAAAAUUAGUGUCUUUAGAAUCUUUAGAAUGUUAAAUUUAUAUCUGCAGAGUUUCAUCAGAAAAUUUAUUCAUUUGGCUGGUCAUUUAAUAGGAAACUUUUGACUGUUCUGUUUAGAUGGAAAUUGGAGCAGCUGUAUUGAAAAUGCCAUAACUAUUUUUAUACCAACGAUUUUGAAGUGAUUCUUUCUGCUAUGGUUUCUAUAAAAAUGGAAGUGUAAUUCUGGAAAAGAUGAGAUUUUUAUUAAUUGUACAUAAUUUUUGGUGUAAUUUCUAAGUCAGUACCUACAAGCUGCCUUCAUCAACAAAUAUGUUGAUUUAUUGUCAUUUAUCUCAUGCAUCAUAUUAUCAUCAAGAAUAUGUGUUAUUUGGUUGAAAUGUGAUAUUUUAUGGAUAGUAAAGAUAUGUAUAUUUAUGCCUUGUGAUUGAAUUGUAUUUGUAUUGAAUAUAUGAAUAGGUUCAUCCAAAGGCAAGGAAGUGGUAAGAGAAAAAGAAUAGGAUUACUUUGUUAUCCUAUAAAUUUUGGUAAGUAUUUAAUAGACUAAACUUUGUGUCUAUUGAGUAGGAACUGCUGUUUGAUUACUUGAUAAUCUCUUGGUUGACUGAGUUGAUAAUGGUUAUGUUUUUGGCUUGUUGUAAAGUGAAUUGAUUGUGAUGUGUUGUGAAGUGAAUUGAUUGUGAUUAAGGAUUGAUGACUCUUGAAUGGAUAUUGUGUGAUCG